GGAAGGUGGCUUUGAGUCAGAAAGAGAGUUACUUAGUAGCAAAAGUGCUCAUCCAGUCUGCAUGCCUGGCCGUCAAGAAGAUUAAUACGGCCCUUCAAAGACUUGGAUGGAUUUGUGGACCCUGCCGUCCUUGAAACCACAGUAUCUGAAAUUCCAGCUGCCUGGGAGCUUCUCAGAGGGUUCAAGCCUACAUCCCCAGAACCUGAGAAGCAGUUCCUCCUCCAACGAGUUUUUCAAGACAAGGAUUCCUUGUGUCAG
Molecule: small RNA, 258 nt
Filed under: Rattus norvegicus (Norway rat)
Lineage: Eukaryota; Metazoa; Chordata; Mammalia; Rodentia; Muridae
Description: uncharacterized LOC103691935
Source: RNAcentral